Vicugna pacos (alpaca) is the source of this 1918-nucleotide long non-coding RNA. RefSeq lists it as uncharacterized. The record is from RefSeq and is a predicted model, not a curated record. NCBI's taxonomy places the organism in Eukaryota, Metazoa, Chordata, Mammalia, Artiodactyla, Camelidae.
UCUCAAGACUGGGAACUGAAUCCUCCGUAGGAAGAGGCCCCGGCACAACACGCGCGUUAGUGUGGGACUCUGGAAAAAUUCUAACAGCUCUGCUCUGCCCCGGGAGAAGCAGAUUUUGCUGACCUUCAGGCAAAUCACUUAACCUCUGUGGUUUGGUGUCUGAAUCUGUAACGAAUAAUCAUCCUGUAACCCCUCCCAGAGGCCUGAGAACGACAAGGGAGCGGCCGUUUAAGGGCCUGCUGCGCCUCAGACAGAGCUUCAGCAUGGGGUCAUCUGCUUGAUUGGGAGAAGAACGUCAGGCAGCAGCUGAGGUUGGAAACCCUGAAUUUGGAGCAACGCUACUCUCACAGUCUCAUGAUUUUCUCUAGCAACACGCAGAAGAUCGUUGGACAGAUCCAGGCCGAGGUGCUGAAGGGCAAGUUCUUUGAAAAGACAGGAGACAAAUGAGUUGAGACUAUUGACAAGACAGUGAUUGCUGCAUAAUGGAAAAGGCACUCUACUGUGAUGUAAUAACUCACUACCUGCCAGGGUGUGCACUGUUAUUAGGCCCUCACAGAGGGUCCAGCACCUCAUACGGAGCUCCUGACAAGCCCUCAUGAGUGGUUCUCCAGUGAAGAUGUGGACAUCCUUGGAAAGGACAGUCAAGAGCACCUGGGACUCUCCAGUGCUUCCCCAGGGCCAUCUGCUGACAAGCCUCAAGCAGUUGGGAGUUUUCCAGUCUGCAGGCACAGUAGCUGAUUUGUGAAGAGGGAAGGCCUGCGGGCUUGGAUUGACGACCUGGUACCCUGCAGCACAGAAACGGCUGGAUACAUGACUGCUGAGCCAGACUGCAUUUCCUUGUCUUUCUUGUAACCAGGUGUGGCCAGACUAAAUUAUCUUCAAUGGACUAUGAAUCAAAAUUAGGUGUCACUUCUAGGUCAGGACAUAGGGAGAGUAGGGGAGCACGCCUCGGGCUCUCCUCUUCCUCCCGCUAGAAGUGGGAACAGCUGCAGUGAUCCUGAGGAACCACCCCACUCUCGUCCAUCCCCGAGGACUCUUUGGAACAGAGGCAUGUACUUGCUGGAUGUAUGAGAUAAAUCGAUUUCUGUCCUGUUUGAGUCAUUACAUUUUGAGGUAUCUAUACAAUAAAAGUAUCUAAAUCAUAAAAUAGUUACAAGCAUUGAAGAAGAUAACGCAGGUGCCCUGAGCCUAGCACAUAACAUCACUAAGCAUCACCCUUAAUGCAUAUGGUUAAAAACAGGAGCUUAGCACCCAGAGUGUGUGUUCAAGAACCUGUGAAAACUGAGAGAUGUUUUGUAAUAGGGAAAGAAAGAAGUGAAGUCUCCUCGCUCUUCAGGAUCGUCUGAGAAAACCUGAGGGCGGAGCUGGGAAUUCUCAGUGUUAGCACCACGAUGUUAGCUCCUUUCUGCAGGGAAAGCAAACUAUUGCAUAGUUCUAAGUCCAGUGACUCAGAAGCCCUCAUUUGACCCAGAAAACCUCCAGCCAGAUUAUAGAAGGCACAAGGUCAAAUAGAUAAGAAUCUAAAAGCCAAACAGAAGUCUCUAAUUAAUGCCAACAAUCUGCCCGUUACAGCUUCGGUUUGGUCACUAGUUGACAGUCAAAUUAACUAUAGUUCAUUUCCUACUACAGUCAACUUACAAUUAGGCAUAAUAAUGAAGGGAAGUAAUGGCACUCAUGACUUAACAUAGUGAGUACUACAAAAAGAGCUUUAUUUAGCUUUGGAAUUGUGCGCAUGUAGCAUGUACACGUGCAUUUACCAUUCUGUCCUCUACACGGAUCUGCCCCCUCCCAAAAGAAGUGGGAACAAUUGGUCCAUCUCUCUUUUUUUGUUGCAAAUCUUCUAUUCCCAUGAUUAGCUUUACACAGAACGAAAUAAAAUCAUUUGCUUCCUUACCAGUGUAAUUAUGUAAAAUCAUUU